Molecule: ribosomal RNA, 524 nt
Filed under: uncultured bacterium
Lineage: Bacteria
Description: bacterial SSU rRNA
Rfam family: Bacterial small subunit ribosomal RNA
Source: RNAcentral
CAUCCAGCGAACUUGGCAGAGAUGGCCUUGGUGCCUUCGGGAACGCUGAGACAGGUGCUGCAUGGCUGUCGUCAGCUCGUGUUGUGAAAUGUUGGGUUAAGUCCCGCAACGAGCGCAACCCUUAUCCUUUGUUGCCAGCGAUUCGGUCGGGAACUCAAAGGAGACUGCCGGUGAUAAACCGGAGGAAGUGGGGAUGACGUCAAGUCAUCAUGGCCCUUACGAGUAGGGCUACACACGUGCUACAAUGGCGCAUACAAAGAGAAGCGACCUCGCGAGAGCAAGCGGACCUCAUAAAGUGCGUCGUAGUCCGGAUCGGAGUCUGCAACUCGACUCCGUGAAGUCGGAAUCGCUAGUAAUCGUGGAUCAGAAUGCCACGGUGAAUACGUUCCCGGGCCUUGUACACACCGCCCGUCACACCAUGGGAGUGGGUUGCAAAAGAAGUAGGUAGCUUAACCUUCGGGAGGGCGCUUACCACUUUGUGAUUCAUGACUGGGGUGAAGUCGUAACAAGGUAAGCGUAGCGAG